This is a non-coding RNA of Podarcis lilfordi (Lilford's wall lizard), 2197 nucleotides long. NCBI's taxonomy places the organism in Eukaryota, Metazoa, Chordata, Lepidosauria, Squamata, Lacertidae. The record is from the annotation of a GenBank genome assembly.
UGUAAAGAAGAAACCAAUCUUCAAAUCAGUUUCAGAUUCCCUGGCUGUAUUUUUCAGCCACGACUGUGACUCGGAAUCUUAGCCACACUUUUUUCUAGAAUAUCAACUGGAUCUCUUUGUAAUAGGAGCCAGACAAUCCCUGGGAUUUCAUCCAGACAUUCCUUUAGUGUGGGCAGCAGCAGCGGAGGAAGGAAGGAAGAAACUUUGGGGGAAAGGAUUUCCUUCAGAAGGUCUUCCCUAGGGGGCGGCAGGCUUGAUAUACUGCUCAGUGGGGACACCUUGGGUUUAUAGUGUUAGGGUCUGGAUACCAAUCAUAAUCCCUAGGAAAUUUGUCAAAAACCCUUAAGAUCCAGUUCCGCCAACUCCCACGUAACACUGAGCCCUAGAGGAACCGUCUAUGCUGAGUUGAGGCACCUCUGGCCCUCCAGAUGUGGUUGGACUCAAAGUACCACCUGCCCAAGCAAGGGUGGCCCAUGGCCAGGGAGGAUGGGAGUCUUAUCUGGGAGGACAAACUUUCUCCCAUCUUCCCCCUCCCCUGAAAACGCUGUAUACCUGUCUUUCAUUUCUUCCUUCCUCCGUUAUCUCCAACAGCUUCCUGAUAUAGUCCAACCAACUGCCCACAUUCCCAAAUCAUCCUGCACCACUGACUUCCCGAGGCGGCUGCAUUGUGUCUAGGACACUGGCAAUGGGACAGCACCUUCCACUGGACGAGAGGAUAGAGGGUUAAAUCAGGGCUGGCCAAAUGGGACUCAGCUCCGUCCCCUCCUUGCCCCCCCUGCAUCUGCUGCUUGAGGGGGCUGCCUGAGUUUCCCUCACGGUGAAGCAGGCCCUGAGAACAGUCUUCUCUCCCCCCCCCAAAAAAAAAAUACGGGAAACACGACAAAGAAGGCCCUGGAGUGUCACCGUGGAACAGGUUGUAAGUCCCUUUGGGCUGCCCUGCCAAGAGAAAGCGACUAAUAGAUUCAAUAAAUAAAUAAAAAUAACAAUUGUAGUAAUAAUUACACAGGCUGGGGGGGGGGAACCCCACCCAUUUCCAUAACAAUCUUGAAUCCCACAGAUUUAAGAGAUUUGAUGUAGCGGGAAUAAUAGAAACCUGGUGGAUGGAGAGGAGGAGUUGGGCCCAGGUGUCUCUGGGGAGGAGCCCUUUAGAUGCUUCUUCACAGAAACACAGGCAUGAGGGAGAGACUGGAGUUGCCCAGAGCGAAGCCUCAAAGGGGGGGAAUAAUAAAGGGGGCUUCCUCCCUUUCCUCUUUCCCCCCAUGGCUGGACUCGCUCUAACAGCCCCCAGCGCCCCCUGCAGCUCCUGAUCUGGGACUUGAGGCAGGGCAAGGACUGAGCUUCAGGGGAGGAGAGGGUGGGGGGAUCGGGGCUCCGCUUCAGGGAUCUCUCCCUGGUCUACGCGGAGUCCUGGCAGAUUCCUGGGCAGGAGGGAGAAAUCAAGGCAGGCGGCCCCCCCAGUCCCUCUCUCUUUCUCCAAGAUGGCUUCCCUUCCUCCCCCAGGGAUGCUCCCUUCCUCCCUCCAGCCCCCCAACUUCCUCUGCCCUCCUCCCCCGCCCCAAGGGUCCCAUUUGUGCCAAAUUGGAGGGGAGGGGAGGGAGACAGGCUGGGGCUCUCUUGCCUCCUUUAACCCUUACAUGGACUUCCUCUCUCCGAUUCUCCACACAAAGGGGACCCACCAAGGCACGCCUUGGCACCCACGGGGAACCAGGAUCAUGGCACCCCAGGGAUUCCUGCCAGGGAGAACCCGGAACUCCCAGAGAGGUGCGGGGUCUCGGUUCAACUCCCAGCCCUGGGGGGGGGGGGCUCCCAUUUCCUUCUUGCACAAGCACCGGGGUUGGGUGGGGGGAAGGGCAGCUGAGCAUCUCUUCUGUGUUUUGACAGAACAGACCCAACAGGAGAUGGUAAUGGGCUGCGAAAUGCUUGGGACUGUGGGGGCUCUCAACUUUGGAGGGCCCUUGAAAUAUGCCUUUAAAUACUAUGGAAUGCAGCGAUGAAUACGGAAAAGGGUCUGAUCUGUCGAGAAGGGUGAAAAACAUUAUCAAGUUGGAGCUACCACGAGCAAGAGACAUUGUCAAGCUGGAGUUACCACGAGUAGGAGAUAAGGGAAAUUACAGUUAUAAAUAUGAAAAAGAGCUGCGGAAGGGCCAUGGAAGUGACCGGAGGGCCUCGGACAUAAGGUUACCGGGCUAGACUGAAG